AAUAUUGGUCAAUGGGGGCAACCCUGAACCAGCCAUGCCGCGUGCAGGACGACUGCCCUAUGGGUUGUAAACUGCUUUUGCUAGGGAAUAAACCCCGCCACGCGUGGCGGGCUGAACGUACCUAGAGAAUAAGGAUCGGCUAACUCCGUGCCAGCAGCCGCGGUAAUACGGAGGAUCCGAGCGUUAUCCGGAUUUAUUGGGUUUAAAGGGUGCGUAGGCGGCGCUUUAAGUCAGGGGUGAAAGACGGCAGCUCAACUGUCGCAGUGCCCUUGAUACUGAAGCGCUUGAAUGCGGUUGAAGACGGCGGAAUGAGACAAGUAGCGGUGAAAUGCAUAGAUAUGUCUCAGAACACCGAUUGCGAAGGCAGCUGUCUAAGCCGUUAUUGACGCUGAUGCACGAAAGCGUGGGGAUCGAAC
This 416-nucleotide ribosomal RNA is filed under the name uncultured bacterium. Its description in RNAcentral is "bacterial SSU rRNA". It matches the Rfam family "Bacterial small subunit ribosomal RNA", at positions 360 to 773 of the family's 1533-position model. The record is from RNAcentral.